GAGGCCAGAAAGAAAAAUAUUGAGAAUUGUAGAGGAACAAUUGGUAAAGAGUUAUCUACUCUUGAACUCAUGAAUACUUGUUGUGCUGGCCAUAAGGUGUUUGUGAGGAAUAGAGAUCUCAACCCCACUAAGAAAUAUGAGUAUGUUUCUCAAUUUUCAUAUUUGAGGGGUAUGAAGUUUGAUAAAAUAGUGAGAGACACAAU
This 203-nucleotide long non-coding RNA is filed under the name Elaeis guineensis (African oil palm). RNAcentral describes it as "long non-coding RNA (EGUI_LNC075942)". The record is from RNAcentral. Lineage: Eukaryota; Viridiplantae; Streptophyta; Magnoliopsida; Arecales; Arecaceae.